AAGGAUAGUCUUGGGGGGGGGCGCAUAUAUUCACCUCUAUUUAAAUUUUUGUUUAUGAGUGGAGAGGGGUCAAUGAACCUCAGGUAAAGAUGUCCUG
This 97-nucleotide microRNA precursor is filed under the name Mus spretus (western wild mouse). RNAcentral's name for it is "microRNA 6398 (ENSMSPG00010042090.1)". Lineage: Eukaryota; Metazoa; Chordata; Mammalia; Rodentia; Muridae. The record is from RNAcentral.